Molecule: long non-coding RNA, 1719 nt
Filed under: Malus domestica (apple)
Lineage: Eukaryota; Viridiplantae; Streptophyta; Magnoliopsida; Rosales; Rosaceae
Description: long non-coding RNA (MDOM_LNC012956)
Source: RNAcentral
UUGAUUCAAUUAGUAGUUUUGAACAACUAAUUGGGCAUUCUUUAAAAAGGUUUUAAAAUGUCAAUUGUGUUAGUGAUUAAACCAAGAAACAAGUGUCUAAAUCUAUAAAAUGUUUAAAGACUUUAGUCACUUAAUAACAAGACAUUAACUUAGUGAAGAUUGAAACAAAUGAGCUUGAAAAGUUUUUUUUUUUUUUUAAGCUACCACACAAUGUCUUCUACCAAUAUAAUCCACUUUUAUACAUUUUGAAUGUAUGAAAUGAUUUCUCAUUAAAGUCAUGAGAAAUAGUGGGAGGUGUGAAAAUGGAUAUAAACUUGAAUAUGAUUGGUUUAUAGUUGUCUAAAGGAUAAUAGUACUUGACUAUUAUUAAGAGUUUGCAAUUUUAAUUGUUAAAAGACUCAAGCUCUUCAAAACAUUAAAAUUCUAUGUUGUGUGACAUUCUAAAGAAUAGUCUUUGAAUGUUGGUUUCGUCAACCUAGCAUAAAAUGGUUAUAUGUUGGGAGUUGUCCAUAAUUCUCUUUUAUGAGAACAAGCUAAAUAACCAAGCAUAUGGACAAGUUGAUGAAACAAAAGGGAAUAAGUUUCAAAAUGAGUCACAACAUAUGGUUUAACAACAAGACAAACCAAAUUCAACAUCUCAUGUAACAAUAUUGCUCUAUGUAGUUUUAAUAAAGAAUUAUAUCAACCACCUAGAAGGAAUGGUUGAGUUUCUAUAUCCUUAGUAGGAGCCAUGCUUCCACUAAAGACUUGGAUAAUUCUUAUAUGACUGCAUUAAAGGUCUUAGUAUGACUAAAACUUGAAGUAUGGUGUAUGACACCAUAAAAUUUAAAUGAAUAGACUUAAUGGAACAAGUCACACAUUUCAAAUGGAAUUACUUGAGAAGGAAUUCUUUUGUGUGUGAUUCAUUUAAGUUAGUGGGAGCAAUAUGCAUUCAAAUCAAGAAAAUAUAAUUGUUAUUUUUGAAUGAAUCCUAAGUUACAACAAGGCCAGUGGGAGUGAUGUUAUAAUUUGAGCAACAUGAUGUGAAUAAAGUCUAUUUGAUAGACUUGAUAAAACAUAAAUGUUACUCGAAAAAUGACAAAACAUGACAUGGUCAAUUUUGAAGUAUAGACUUGAAAUUGGACUUAUUGAUAUAGCAAGGCUAUCUCAAUGAUGUUGUAUGGGAAUUAAAUCUCAAAUGUUGUAGAUUUAAGAAAGCUUUUUCCUAUGUGAUAGAAAAUCACUUUCAUAACCCUAAUAAUGAAUAUGUCACAAAAUCACAAAAGGGACACAUGUAUAGACUUGUGAAGUAGAUAUCCAAAGGUGAAGAACCACAUGGUUGUCACUUUAAGAUAUUACUAUAUCCCAGGAUUAGAACCAAAGCAACUGAUAGAGUAUUAUUGCCUUUAAGAAAGAAAUAUCAGAGUGGGACUCUGGAAGCAUGCAUUCACUUAGGUUAUUAACCAGAAUGAAAAAUAAGCCAUUUUAACAAAUGGAACUUCAUAAUGGAUGAAGUACUAAUCAUAUGAAUGAAUUGUUAGUAUUGUACUACAAUGGUCUCAAGGUUGGAGCAAAGUUUGUAUUGAUGCGAAAUAUAUAAGCACACAAAUUAAACCCUCUUUUUAUCAAUUGUAGUAAAGUAUGUAAGUAGGGUAUCGUUCUAGGCCGGGGAUUAGGAGGGAUUGCUAAUCUAUUCUAAAUUAAUUUAGAAUUAUUAAACAAGACUCAAGGACACAAAAC